This 401-nucleotide unclassified non-coding RNA is filed under the name soil metagenome. RNAcentral's name for it is "partial contains 5.8S ribosomal RNA, internal transcribed spacer 2, and large subunit ribosomal RNA". The stretch from base 1 to 121 matches the Rfam family "5.8S ribosomal RNA", at positions 35 to 154 of the family's 154-position model. The record is from RNAcentral.
GAUGAAGAACGUAGCGAAAUGCGAUAAGUAAUGUGAAUUGCAGAAUUCAGUGAAUCAUCGAAUCUUUGAACGCACCUUGCGCCCUUUGGCUAUUCCGAAGGGCAUGCCUGUUUGAGUAUCGUGAACACCUCAACUCUCAUGGUUUGCCAUGAUGAGCUUGGACUUUGGGGGUUUUGCUGGCCUUUGGUCGGCUCCUCUCAAACGGAUCAGCUUUCCAGUGUUUGGUGGCGUCACGGGUGUGAUAACUAUCUACGCCUGUGGUUUUCUGCCAGAUAACCUUCAGCGAUGGAGGUUCGCUGGGGCUCAUAAAUGUCUCUCUUCAGUGGAGACAGCUUUUUGGACGUUUGAUCUCAAAUCAGGUAGGACUACCCGCUGAACUUAAGCAUAUCAAUAGCGGAGGA